RNAcentral lists this small RNA (768 nucleotides) under Pan troglodytes (chimpanzee). Its description in RNAcentral is "processed transcript". The record is from RNAcentral. Lineage: Eukaryota; Metazoa; Chordata; Mammalia; Primates; Hominidae.
GGCGGCGCGGUGUACCCUGGGAUAGGGAGCGAUCUCCGAGCGAGGCGGCAAGAUGGACGCGGGAUUUUUCCGCGGAACAAGUGCAGAACAGGAUAAUCGGUUCAGCAACAAACAGAAGAAACUACUGAAGCAGCUGAAAUUUGCAGAAUGCCUAGAAAAAAAGGUGGACAUGAGCAAAGUAAAUUUGGAGGUUAUAAAGCCUUGGAUAACAAAAAGAGUAACGGAAAUCCUUGGGUUUGAAGAUGAUGUUGUGAUUGAGUUUAUAUUCAACCAGCUGGAAGUGAAGAAUCCAGACUCCAAAAUGAUGCAAAUCAACCUGACUGGAUUUUUGAAUGGAAAAAAUGCUCGAGAAUUUAUGGGAGAACUGUGGCCCCUGCUGCUAAGUGCACAAGAAAACAUCGCGGGAAUCCCUUCUGCUUUCCUAGAACUGAAGAAAGAAGAAAUAAAACAAAGACAGAUUGAACAAGAAAAACUGGCAUCUAUGAAAAAGCAAGAUGAAGACAAAGAUAAAAGAGAUAAGGAAGAAAAAGAAAGCAGCAGAGAAAAAAGGGAGCGGUCUCGUAGCCCAAGAAGAACCAAGAGCCGGAGUCCUUCCCCUGCUCCAGAAAAGAAGGAAAAAACUCCAGAGCUCCCAGAACCUUCAGUGAAAGUAAAAGAACCUUCAGUACAAGAGGCUACUUCUACUAGUGACAUUCUGAAAGUUCCCAAACCUGAACCUAUACCAGAGCCUAAAGAACCUUCUCCGGAAAAAAAUUCCAAAAAAGAAAA